RNAcentral lists this long non-coding RNA (1339 nucleotides) under Homo sapiens (human). Its description in RNAcentral is "non-protein coding lnc-ANKRD20A4-20:3". The record is from RNAcentral. Lineage: Eukaryota; Metazoa; Chordata; Mammalia; Primates; Hominidae.
CUCAUGGUGGCUUUGUCUCUCUUCUGCCAUCUCCAGACUCAGCUUUGCACUCCAGGGCUGCGUACCACCAGCCACUGUCAUGUUAACCCCUUCCCAGGCCAAUGUGUCCUUGGCCUGGAGCCCAAUCUGCUGGACAGCCUGGGACCGUCCAUUUUCGGGGUGGUGGGCAACCUGGUGGCCAUCGUGGUGCUGUGCAAGUCGCGCAAGGAGCAGAAGGAGACCACCUUCUAUACAGUUAUGCGGCUGGCUGCCACCGACCUGUUGUUCACUUUGCUGGUGAGCCAGGUGACCAUCGCCAUGUACAUGAAGGGCGGGUAACCUGGGGGCCAGCUGCUGUGUGAGUACAGCAUCUUCAGCCUGUUCUUCUUCAGUCAGUCCGGCCUCAGCAUCGUCUGUGCCAUGAUAUCUAUACAGGAUGUCUCAACUCAAAUGUGAAAUUUUCAUGGAGAAUAUUUGAACUGUAUUUAGAUUAAUACAAAUUGCAGUUAAAACGUUUAAUAUAGAUUUACCAGGGGGCGUGCAGCCCGCUUGCCAAUCAGAUCGCUGCUGAGCGGUCCCGCAGCCAACCCCCGAAGAGCAGCCUGCUGGCUUCCCCAGCGCCCAGGAGUUGGGGAUGUCCUACAAACCUACCACCCCUGCCCCCAGCAGCACCCCCGGCUUCAGCACCCCUGGGCCAGGCACUCCGGUCCCUACAGGAAGCGUCCCGUCGCCGUCGGGCUCAGGGCCGGGAGCCACUGCCCCUUGCAGACCGCUGUUUAAAGACUUUGGACCACCUACGGUCGGUUGUGUGCAGGCCAUGAAACCACCUGGUGCCCAGGGCUCCCAGAGCACCUACACGGAACUGCUGUUGGUCACAGGGGAGAUGGGCAAAGGGAUCCGGCCCACCUAUGCUGGCAGCAAGAGCGCCGCGGAGCGCCUGAAGAGAGGUAUCAUCCAUCCCUAGUCAGAGUGCCUGGUAGAGACAGAGCGGAACGGCCACACUUAACAGGAAGCUCCUAGGCCUCUGUGUCUGGACUUCAGAGCACCUGCUUCUCCCUGGCCUUCAUCCCUAGUUGCACUAACCAUCCUGGGCUUCCUGUCCUGUGUCCCUUGAUGGGUGCCCUCCAGGAACCAAGGGGCGGUUCUCACUGCAGGUGGCAGCACUAAGGACCCCCCUCCCCACCCCACCCCGCCAACGCAACAAGAGUUAGCAGCGAGGUCCCCGUGAGUCCCACCCAUGACCUGCAGACAGUGUUGCCCACUGGAACUUUCUGUGGCGCCCACCACUCAGCCCUUCCCAGCACUUGUCCAGAGCCUCUUUCUCCCUCAGCACAGCUCAGGCCUCAGGCCUGACACUUCC